Nothobranchius furzeri (turquoise killifish) is the source of this 893-nucleotide non-coding RNA. Lineage: Eukaryota; Metazoa; Chordata; Actinopteri; Cyprinodontiformes; Nothobranchiidae. The record is from RefSeq and is a predicted model, not a curated record.
CCACUCGUCUCUUGCUCUGGCAAACUCCAGCCAAUCGCAAUCCAGUAUGCUGUUGCCUGGCAACAAAACCGCUCAACACGUGGGCUGCUGCUCCAGCAAACUGCAGCGAUGGGUGCAGAGUGGUAAAAUGGUAAAUGGCCUGUAUUUGAUAUAGCGCCAUCUAGAGUCCUGGAACCCCCAAGGCGCUUUACAAUACAAUCAGUCAUUCAUCCAUUCACACACACGUUCAAACCCUAGUGAUGAUGAGCUACAUUGUAGCCACAGCUUCCCUGGGUACAUGAGGAUGAUUCUUCCCAACUGCCUGGGCCACUCUCAGAUGGGACAAAUAAAACCAAAAUCCCUGAGUUAACUUUCAUGGACAAUAAAAGAUUUUAAAAGAUGCACAUCAAGGUAAAUUGAAACUCAAGUGUCUUGUCCACGCUCCUGGACAGACAUUCCCCAUCAUGCGCUCUGCGCUCCUCUGACCAAGGCCUGCUCGUUGUUCCUCGUUCUAGGUGUCGUACUCGCGGGGACCGGGCUUUCUCAGCACUAGCACCGUCACUUUGGAACCAGUUGCCACCCUCAGUUAGGCUGUCCCCAUCUCUGCCAGUCUUCAAGAGCCGCCUAAAAACACACCUCCUCCGCUUGGCGUUCCCUGAAUGUAUUUGAGUUAGGCCAUCAUUUAUGUUGAUUUUAUCUCACAGUCUUCAUUGGUUCAAUUUUUCCCUUGUUUUACACAUUUGUAUUCUACUAGAAUGUUUCACCUUUUUUGUAAUUUGUAAUCUGUAAUUUGAAUUGCUUUUAUUUUCUGAUUUAUUCACUUUAUUUGACUUUGUUCUGUACAGUGUUCAGCGCCUUGGGCUUCCUGACAGGGUUGCGGAAGGCGCUUUAUAAAUAAAGCUUUGACUGAUUGA